RNAcentral lists this ribosomal RNA (245 nucleotides) under uncultured bacterium. Its description in RNAcentral is "partial 16S ribosomal RNA". It matches the Rfam family "Bacterial small subunit ribosomal RNA", at positions 524 to 768 of the family's 1533-position model. The record is from RNAcentral.
UACGUAGGAAGCUAGCGUUAUCCGGAUUUAUUGGGCGUAAAGCGGGCGUAGGUGGUUCUUCAAGUCUGGUGUGAAAUCUCCUGGCUUAACUGGGAGGGUGCAUCAGAUACUGUUGGACUGGAGUGCAGCAGAGGGAGGUGGAAUUCCCGGUGUAGUGGUGAAAUGCGUAGAUAUCGGGAGGAACACUAGUGGCGAAGGCGGCCUCCUGGGCUGUAACUGACACUGAGGCCCGAAGGCGUGGGGAG